AAGCAAAGGCCAGACCUUUCUCUUAGACGUUCAGGGUUUGAAUGACCCAGGCCUGCAGAGUCAACUCUACUGCCUGUCCACACUUGUCUGUUUCUGUUCCUCACUUCUCCAGUGAGCGUGGAGUUCCACGGUCUCAGGUGGGUGACGCUAGGUAAGAGGUUUCCUGCGACUAACUAGCUGUGUGCCCUCUGGUGAAGAUCUAUGAGUUCUCAUCGCUUGGGUCUCCUCAUUGGCAGGUGAUAGUCAUCACACCCACUCUGAAUUUCCUGACAGGCAUUAGGAGAAUUGAAGACACCGUGGGUAAUGACGGAGCCUCGUGUACUGCUCACAGGUGCGGAAGCCAAACAGUCACUUUAGGGAGUUCUGGUUGUUUUUUCGGUUUGGUUUGGUUUUUAAGAGAUGAGGUCUCACUCUGUGGCCCAGGCUGGCAUGCAGUGGCACAGUCAUAGCUCAUGGCAACCUGGAACUUCUAGGUUCAAGCAAUCCUCCCACCUCAGCGUCCUGAGUAGCUGGGACUACAGACGCAUGCCACCACACUUGGCUAAUUUUAUUUAUUUAUUUUUGUAGAGACAGGGGCCUUGCUAUGUUGCCCAGGCUGGUCUCGAACUCCUGGCCUCAAGAGAUCCUACCCCAGCUUUCCGAGUGGAUUUUGUUUUUUAAUGGCUAUUUCCUUUUCCCCCUAACAUUUACAAAAUGCUUACAUAUGCCAGGCACUGUGUUUAGUGCUUACGUGGAUUCUCUCAUUUAAUCCUCAGGCAAUUCUCUAAGGAAAGUACUGUCAUGUCACCCCCGUCUGAGAGGACUGAGGCUCAGUGAGGUCCCAUGAGGUCACAGAGACAGCUUUUAAACUGUGUCAAGAUAGCCAGAGCUGGAACAGCAGAGCUACGCUGAUUGCUUGCUGGACAUGGAAGAGCAGCUUCUCUCACGCAAAGGUGUUUUCAGCAGGUUUCCCUUGGUUAAAGGAGAAAGGCUGGAUGCAGGAUAAAAAGAAAAACACUUUCCUCCAUGAAGUCUCUCUCUGUAUCCUACAGGUCCAAGAAACUAACUUGGGAAAGAAGAGGGGAAGUUCUUAUUUUCACAUGCUGAAUAAAUUACCAGAAAUAGAACUUGGCUCAGAACCUCACAUAUCUUCAGACCAAGAACAACUAUGCUGGAGAAGCUGUAUUUCCUUGACCAUCACUGAGGAGGCUCAUCUGCACGUGGAAUGAAUUAAGAUAUCAAUGUCCUAUUUUGACUGCAUGUUAUUCAGAAAUGAGACUUUGGGAAGUCUUAGCAGGGGGUCAAUGCAUUUUGUAUGUGUAGGGGAAUAUAAAUAAUUUUGGGUCAGUGGGCAGAGGGGUUUUUAAUAAUUAUUUGACACCCCUCCCUUCUGUGGAGCUAAUUCCCCUCCCCUUGAGUGAGUCACCUGGUGACUCAUUACUAAUGAAUAGAAUGUGGCAUAAAUGACAGAGCAUGACUCUUUUCUUUUCUUUUUUUUUUUUUUUUUUUUUGAGACAGGGUCUCACUCUGUGGCCCAGACUGGAGUGCCAUGGUGUAAUCACAGCUCACUCAGCUUCAACUUCCUGGGCUCAAGCAAUCCUCUCACCUCAGCCUCCCAAAAUCCUGGGAUUACAGAUAUGAGCCAGUACGCCCAGCCUGACAGAGCAUGACUUCUGAGGGUAGGUCAUAAAAGACAUUGUGACUUCCGGUUUGUUCUUUGAACACUUGUAUAAAGGAAGUCAGCUGCCAUGUCUCAAUGACACUCAAGUGGCCCUAUGGAGGGGCCUAAAACAGGCAUCGUCCUGCCAACAGCCGUCAAGGAACUGAGGGAACUGAGGCCCUUUGCUAACAGCCGUGAAGUGCACCAUCAUGGAAGUAGAUCUCCCGCCCCUGUCAAGCCUUCAGAUAACUGGCGCCCCAGCUGACUGCUCAACUGCAACCCUCUGUGAGAAACCCUCAGUUAGGACAACCCAGCUAAGUAUUCUCAAAUUCCACAGAAUCUGUGAAAUAAUAACGUGCUUUUGUUUUAAGCAACUAAGCUUUGUUUAAUUUGUUACACAGUAACAGACAACGAAUACAGCUGGCUUAUCAGGUAUGUAUAGUUUAAGGCUUUUCAUGUAGAUUGCAAAAUUGCCUUCCUGAAAUGUUAUGCCAAUUUACACC
Long non-coding RNA from Cercocebus atys (sooty mangabey), 2142 nucleotides. NCBI's taxonomy places the organism in Eukaryota, Metazoa, Chordata, Mammalia, Primates, Cercopithecidae. The record is from Ensembl.